AACGAACGCUGGCGGCAUGCCUAACACAUGCAAGUCGAACGAAACCUUCGGGUCUAGUGGCGCACGGGGGGGUAACGCGUGGGGACCUGCCCUUGGGUUCGCAAUAACUCCCCGAAAGGGGUCCUAAUACCGGCGAAUGUACUCCGACCAAAGAUUUAUCGCCUUUGGAUGGGCCCGCGUUGGCUUAGCUAGUUGGUAGGGUAAAAGCCGACCAAGACGAGGAUCCAUAGCUGGUCUGAGAGGAUGAUCCGCCACACUGGGGCUGAGACACGGCCCAGAACGGUACGGAAGGGAGGAGAGGAGAAUACUGGACGAUGGGCGAUGGCCUGAUCCAGCACUGCGGGGUAAGUGAUGAAGGCCUUAGGGUUGUAAAGCUCUUUUACACGGGACGAUAAUGACGGUACCGGGAGAAUAAGCACCGGCUAACUCCGUG
This 433-nucleotide ribosomal RNA is filed under the name uncultured bacterium. RNAcentral describes it as "partial 16S ribosomal RNA". It matches the Rfam family "Bacterial small subunit ribosomal RNA", at positions 29 to 507 of the family's 1533-position model. The record is from RNAcentral.